This 500-nucleotide ribosomal RNA is filed under the name uncultured bacterium. RNAcentral's name for it is "partial 16S ribosomal RNA". It matches the Rfam family "Bacterial small subunit ribosomal RNA", at positions 30 to 523 of the family's 1533-position model. The record is from RNAcentral.
AUCGAACGCUGGCGGCAGGCCUAAAACGUGCAAGUCGAGCGGUAGAGAGAAGCUUGCUUCUCUUGAGAGCGGCGGACGGGUGAGUAAUGCCUAGGAAUCUGCCUGGUAGUGGGGGAUAACGUUCGGAAACGGACGCUAAUACCGCAUACGUCCUACGGGAGAAAGCAGGGGACCUUCGGGCCUUGCGCUAUCAGGUGAGCCUAGGUCGGAUUAGCUAGUUGGUUGGGUAAUGGCUCACCAAGGCGACGAUCCGUAACUGGUCUGAGAGGAUGAUCAGUCACACUGGAACUGAGACACGGUCCAGACUCCUACGGGAGGCAGCAGUGGGGAAUAUUGGACAAUGGGCGAAAGCCUGAUCCAGCCAUGCCGCGUGUGUGAAGAAGGUCUUCGGAUUGUAAAGCACUUUAAGUUGGGAGGAAGGGCAGUAAAUUAAUACUUUGCUGUUUUGACGUUACCGACAGAAUAAGCACCGGCUAACUCUGUGCCAGCCGCCGCGGUAA